UUAGUUCUUUAAAUUGUAAAGAUUUUAGAAACAAUAGAUUUUAGAUUUAUUUAUUUUAAGGUACAAAGUCCUAGCGGUCAAAUCCAUUUCUCAGACUAAAUGGGUUAAGUGUCAGCUGCUAGCUGGAGAGAAACGGGCAUCUGACCAAGUCAAAGGGAUGUUAGAAGGGAAAAGCUCCCAAAAGCGCAACCGGAAAUUGGCAGAUGGCGAAAUGCAGCCAGCGAAGGACCAGAGUCGAUGGAGGUUAGGGGGAGCAGAAACAAGGGAGUCGAACAAUGCAUAACGUCAAAACGAUCUGUCAGUUUGAAAAAUCGCUGGAAGCUUCUAGCCCUCGGAUACGUUCUGGUGCCCUUGCCUCCGAUUCUGGUAUGAAUACUCCCUGGUGUGUGUUGGUGGGGGCCAUGGCAAUGUCAUCGUCACUGAGCUUCUCCGACUUAUCCUCAUCAGCUUCUCCUCCCGCUGACUGCGUAUUCAUGGCACAAUUGGCUUAAGGCAAUUGCGUCAGACUGCAUUCUUGAAGGACGGCGACAGGAAUGUGAGUGGCGCAGGAGCACGACUCGAGCAAAACCCGGUCCAUGAACCAUUGGAUUUGUAACGCUUACAGCACCCAGCAGGUUGUCAGUCUUGAGCCCCUGAAAGCCCCAAAA
Long non-coding RNA from Drosophila gunungcola (fruit fly), 647 nucleotides. RefSeq lists it as uncharacterized. NCBI's taxonomy places the organism in Eukaryota, Metazoa, Arthropoda, Insecta, Diptera, Drosophilidae. The record is from RefSeq and is a predicted model, not a curated record. The transcript is spliced from 3 exons.